AAUUUUUAAAAAUCAUUUCCUUUUCUGUUGUCUGCAAAAGCGCGCUAUGGCUAACCUGAUUUCUCUCGGGCCUUAUGUAGGUUGGCCUGCUUAGGAGUAUACUACUUAUUCUCUGACUUGCUCCCCCCCCCCCCCCAAAUCACUCUGCCUUAGAGACCAUUUUUGAAAUGGGAAUGAAUUCCAUCUUAUUCUUAAAUUGAAAACACAGCGGCUUAUGGUUCUGCCCUAAGUUCUAGAAGUAGCUCCUCUUGAUCAUCCUUUAAGCGGUUUUUAACUGGAAGGUCCACGGUCGACUCCCUUGUUCAUUUCUUCAGAAGCCCCUUCAAAUCUUCAUUUGCUGGAUCAUGGCGCAGGCUGUCAGGGAACUGGAGCUUACUUGGGAAGAAACUGUGCCUGGUCCCCGUGCUAAGGAGGGCUUGUUGGCCAGGGGAUCCGAUCUGGGGGAGCAGAGUGGGAAGGGAACUUGGGGUGAGGCCAUCCGAGGCCCUCCAAAGUUACCGGAUGCCAAGACAACACUUCCUAUUGAACCUUCAUCUCAGGCUUUCCAUCAGAACGGACACUGAUAUAUGGACAUCCAUUUCCUGCUGAGACUCUUAAGGCGUAGGACAGGUGCUUCUCUAGGAUGUGAAGCUGUCAUGUGGCCAGGAGGGAGACGUGGUCACCAAAUCCAAAAUGUAGUAACUUCCAUUGAUGUUCACGCAGUCGAUCCCAAGGGAAUCGCUGGGUGGCCAAGGGGUAGAAGGAAGAGCGGACGUCCUCCGGCACCAUGGAAUCUGGCAAUGCACUGUGGACAGAAGCCCCCACCUCCACCUGCAGGAUCCCGGGAUCAAGACCUGAACUGAUGUCAGGUGAUUAACCAUGUGAGCCACCCGGGUGCCCUUGUAAAUGUUGGAUCUACAACUGGGUCAAAUUCUGAACCUAUGAUGAAUUAGUUCGUGGGGGCCCCGGGGGGUCCCCCUACCUCCUGUAUUCAGUUUUCUCUCUCCCACUCCUCCUUUGCUCGGGUUUGUGUCUUCCUGGAUAUACUGGGGGUGGGGUGGGGGAGUGUCUUUUGCCCUGCUCCUCGUUCUCGGUGUUUUCUUCCAGAGAGUCUCAAAUCAGCAUCAUCAGCCUUGGGGCUUCUGUCGCGGCGAGGGCUGUAUGGUCUCACGCCUCCUGGCGGAAGUCAAGGUGGGACCGGAUCCCCUCAGUGUGCCCUUCUUACAUUUCCCUGCGUCGGGGCCUCCCUCCGUUGCACCCACAACACAGAGGGUCACCCCCAGGGCUGUGCUUGGGGUGUGCUUUCCCCCAUAGGAUCCGGACGUCCGCAUCCAGCACUGGCCCAACACCCAGUCCCUGGAACUGAAGCACACCAGUCAGCAUGUCCUGCGGUUGCCAGCCUCAGGGGGGAGCCCUGGAGACCAAUACAGGCCACAUGCAGGUCACAUGGGUGACACCUCCCCCCAAGAUACAGUCCAUUCUCCUUCAUUCUCACCUUGUUGGCAAGGAGGGGACCUUAGUUUGGAAACGGAUGGCGACCUCCAUGUGAGAUAACAGAACACGGGCCAACACACAAGCUGGCCGGCGAUGGCCAGUUCCCUCCCAGAUCGUGGCUGUCACCUCUGAAGCCAGUUAGUUAGCGAAGGAGCAGGUCAAGCUGACCCCCGCGUCCUCAGUUAACAUACGGACACCGUGCCUGUGAUGCUGCCGCUUGUUUUAAUCACCAUCUCCUCAGGUCCCCGAUGAGAGAGAGAUUCCUGCUCCAGACUUGUGGGAUGCCCUGACACCCGACACGUGUGACUGACCAACAGUUUACUCGUCCCAUACCCUCGCGCUUCAGGGGAGGAGGAUACCACACACGGUGCAGGACGACACAGACGUCGCGCUUGAGAACAGAGAGAACCAGCAGCAGGGCCUUCGAAGGCAAGACUUGCUUCUUGAAACAAGAGGGUGUGGCAAGUCCUGGUUCCCAUGGGAGGGGGUGAGUGGCUGGCCUCAAGAAUUCAGUGGGCUUCUAGGCAACUGAACGCUGCUCCCCCAAAACCAACAGGCACUAUGGCUAGUCCCGAGGAUGAGAAGGGUGUUUGGGGAAGAGACCUCCCCUGUGAGGGAAGAGGGAGAGGAGAACGGGCAGGAGGCCAUUCGGGUCCCUCCUUGAUCUUCCGCGUGUCAACACAGCCCCUGACACGGAAUCUUCACUGCAGGCCUCCUGCCCCAAGAGGGUACGACAAAUGCUUCUAGAACUAACAACGGAACUUCACAGAGAAACAGUACACGGGCUAAACACAGAAAGACAGCUCGGUUUGGUGCCGACCACAGCCAUCUAGAGCUUGUGAGGAGCUCAGAGAGGCCACCCUCAGAACACAGCAGCAGCAGAGGAGGAGGAUGGUGGUGUGACCGAGGUCCUGCCAGGCUUCUGUGAGGCUUGCUGCUUGUCUGGCGUCUCGAGACCCCACAACCUUGUCCCGGUGGGCGCAGCACCUCACAACCUCCAGACCCAUGGCCACUGGUCUGAGGACACCCCUUUCCAGCUCCUGUACUUCGUCCUCGAGGUCGGCGCGGAGGACGAAGAAGUGAGCAGCCCUUGGGAAGAUGCUCCUCUGCACGGAGCUGAGAAGAGCCCAGAACGGGGCCUCGUUGAUGGAGCUGCUAACUAUGUGGGGGGCCUGGAGACAGCGCGAGUGGAAAUGCGGCCGAACCGGGCAGAUGAGGUUUCAGCCUUGCUGGGGCUCAAGUCCUGCUAGAAGAGACCGACGUGAAGCCCGUAAGUGGAGUGUUGAUGGGGGAGGAGCUCCGUUCUCCUUCUCGAGUAGGUUACGUUCCACGAGGGGUUGUCAGGAUCCCCACCGUGCACCUGAGAUCAGGCCAGUCAGGGGUCAGUGGGGGUGUGUGUGUGUGUGUGUGUGUGUGUCUGUGUGUGUGUGUGUGUGUGUGUGU
Molecule: long non-coding RNA, 2916 nt
Organism: Mustela erminea (ermine)
Lineage: Eukaryota; Metazoa; Chordata; Mammalia; Carnivora; Mustelidae
Exons: 5
Source: RefSeq, a predicted model, not a curated record